This is a ribosomal RNA of Ophiostoma piceae, 120 nucleotides long. The record is from Rfam. NCBI's taxonomy places the organism in Eukaryota, Fungi, Ascomycota, Sordariomycetes, Ophiostomatales, Ophiostomataceae.
ACGUACGGCCAUAGACACUGGAAAGCACGGGAUCCCGUCCGCUCUCCCCUAGUUAAACCAGUGAUCGGCGGAUUAGUAGUUGGGUCGGUGACGACCAGCGAAUACCCUCUGCUGUACGUU